GACGAACGCUGGCGGCGUGCUUAACACAUGCAAGUCGAACGGAAAGGCCCUGCUUGUGUGGGGUGCUCGAGUGGCGAACGGGUGAGUAACACGUGAAUAACCUGCCCUUGACUUUGGGAUAACUUCAGGAAACUGGGGCUAAUACCGGAUAGGAGCUCCUGCUGCAUUGUGGGGAGUGGAAAGUUUCGGCGGUUGUGGAUGGACGCGCGGCUUAUCAGCUUGUUGGUGGGGGAGUGGCUUACCAAGGCUUUGACGGGUAGCCGGCCUGAGAGGGUGAACGGCCACCUUGGGACUGAGAUACGGCCCAGAGUCCUACGGGAGGCAGCAGUGGGGAAUAUUGCACAAUGGGCGGAAGCCUGAUGAAGCAACGCCGCGUGCGGGAUGACGGCCUUCGGGUUGUAAACCGCUUUCGCCUGUGACGAAGCGUGAGUGACGGUAAUGGGUAAAGAAGCACCGGCUAACUACGUG
RNAcentral lists this ribosomal RNA (468 nucleotides) under uncultured bacterium. RNAcentral's name for it is "partial 16S ribosomal RNA". It matches the Rfam family "Bacterial small subunit ribosomal RNA", at positions 28 to 507 of the family's 1533-position model. The record is from RNAcentral.